GACAAAAGAUUCACCGUAAUUAAAUAAAAUUAUUCAUCGACGAAUAAUUUUAAUUGGGUCUCUAAAAGAUAUUUUUGGCAUUUAACUCACAAAAUGCCAUAAAAUUGGCUAAAAAGCCUCAGAAAAUCAGCACAAAAUUCCUCAAAAUACAUAAAUUAGAAUUUAAAAUUAAGGGUCUUACAGAAAUCAACUAGUCGUGUCCUCAACUUUUGUCGAAUGAAAUCCCACAUAUUGUAUCGCAAACAACUUUGUUUGAUAAGAAAGUAUUCCAAAUAGAAUUUAUCUUAUUUCAGAUGUUUGGACAACAUCUACUAGUGAGAGUUAUAUUUGUUUAACCGUUUGUUAUGUUGAUGAACAUUGGAAGUCAACUAGUCGUGUCCUCAACUUUUGUCGAAUGAAAUCCCACAUAUUGUAUCGAAAC
RNAcentral lists this long non-coding RNA (421 nucleotides) under Cicer arietinum (chickpea). RNAcentral describes it as "long non-coding RNA (CARI_LNC001808)". Lineage: Eukaryota; Viridiplantae; Streptophyta; Magnoliopsida; Fabales; Fabaceae. The record is from RNAcentral.